RNAcentral lists this ribosomal RNA (585 nucleotides) under uncultured bacterium. RNAcentral's name for it is "partial 16S ribosomal RNA". It matches the Rfam family "Bacterial small subunit ribosomal RNA", at positions 355 to 1375 of the family's 1533-position model. The record is from RNAcentral.
UGGGGAAUUUUGGACAAUGGGCGAAAGCCUGAUCCAGCAAUGCCGCGUGUGUGAAGAAGGCCUUCGGGUUGUAAAGCACUUUUGUCCGGAAAGAAAUCCUUGGCCCUAAUACAGUCGGGGGAUGACGGUACCGGAAGAAUAAGCACCGGCUAACUACGUGCCAGCAGCCGCGGUAAUACGUAGGGUGCAAGCGUUAAUCGGAAUUACUGGGCGUAAAGCGUGCGCAGGCGGUUUGCUAAGACCGAUGUGAAAUCCCCGGGCUCAACCUGGGAACUGCAUUGGUGACUGGCAGGCUAGAGUAUGGCAGAGGGGGGUAGAAUUCCACGUGUAGCAGUGAAAUGCGUAGAGAUGUGGAGGAAUACCGAUGGCGAAGGCAGCCCCCUGGGCCAAUACUGACGCUCAUGCACGAAAGCGUGGGGAGCAAACAGGAUUAGAUACCCUGGUAGUCCACGCCCUAAACGAUGUCAACUAGUUGUUGGGGAUCCAUUUCCUUAGUAACGUAGCUAACGCGUGAAGUUGACCGCCUGGGGAGUACGGUCGCAAGAUUAAAACUUAAAUGAAUUGACGGGGUCAUAGCUGUUUCCU